Non-coding RNA from Erinaceus europaeus (western European hedgehog), 46 nucleotides. Lineage: Eukaryota; Metazoa; Chordata; Mammalia; Eulipotyphla; Erinaceidae. The record is from Rfam.
CAAAAGGCUCUUUUCAGAGCCACACAAUCAUUCUUCUAGAGAGCUU